UAAACCUCGGGCAACUGACAUACACGCCAAUUUUAUGUCGAAGGUGAAAGGUAUGAUAGCUAACGCUUUCUCGCCAGUCACCGUCUCGGCGUUCGCUUAACUGAACGUCCAUCCGACCCAACGACGUCCGAUAGUUGGGAGCCGGGUGUUAUUUAUCGGGCUGGAUUCGCACGCCUUUCCUUAGUGCGGAUCGACUUGGCUAGGAAAUAGGAGUGUCAGGUUUGGUUUGACUAACAUUGUCACUCCGAAAUUUUAAGUCGAACUACAUCGGUAGAUGUAUCGCGCGAUAAUUCACCAGACGGGAGUUCAAAUCUCCCCAUCUCCACCA
This 328-nucleotide transfer-messenger RNA is filed under the name Patescibacteria group bacterium. RNAcentral's name for it is "partial transfer-messenger RNA". It matches the Rfam family "transfer-messenger RNA", at positions 69 to 374 of the family's 374-position model. Rfam says of the family: Bacterial tmRNA, also known as 10Sa RNA or SsrA, is named for its dual tRNA and mRNA-like properties. Its role is to liberate the mRNA from a stalled ribosome. To accomplish this part of the tmRNA is used as a reading frame that ends in a translation stop signal. The record is from RNAcentral.